UUGCACCGAGUGCAACUUAGUGGCGGACGGGUGAGUAACGCGUGAGCAACCUGCCUUAUACAGGGGGAUAACAGUUAGAAAUGACUGCUAAUACCGCAUAAGCGCACGGCAUCGCAUGAUGCAGUGUGAAAAACUCCGGUGGUAUAAGAUGGACCCGCGUUGGAUUAGCUAGUUGGUGAGGUAACGGCCCACCAAGGCGACGAUCCAUAGCCGGACUGAGAGGUUGACCGGCCACAUUGGGACUGAGAUACGGCCCAGACUCC
This 263-nucleotide ribosomal RNA is filed under the name uncultured Eubacteriales bacterium. RNAcentral's name for it is "uncultured Clostridiales bacterium partial 16S ribosomal RNA". It matches the Rfam family "Bacterial small subunit ribosomal RNA", at positions 72 to 339 of the family's 1533-position model. Lineage: Bacteria; Bacillati; Bacillota; Clostridia; Eubacteriales. The record is from RNAcentral.